UAAGGAAUAUUGCGCAAUGGGCGACAGCCUGACGCAGCGACGCCGCGUGGGGGAUGAAGGUCUUCGGAUUGUAAACCCCUUUCGGCAGGGAAGAUGGAACGGGUAACCGUUCGGACGGUACCUGCAGAAGCAGCCACGGCUAACUUCGUGCCAGCAGCCGCGGUAAUACGAAGGUGGCAAGCGUUGUUCGGAUUUACUGGGCGUACAGGGAGCGUAGGCGGUUGGGUAAGCCCUCCGUGAAAUCUCCGGGCCUAACCCGGAAAGUGCGGAGGGGACUGCUCGGACUAGAGGAUGGGAGAGGAGCGCGGAAUUCCCGGUGUAGCGGUGAAAUGCGUAGAGAUCGGGAGGAAGGCCGGUGGCGAAGGCGGCGCUCUGGAACAUUUCUGACGCUGAGGCUCGAAAGCGUGGGGAGCAAACAGGAUUAGAUACCCCCGUAGUCCCUGAG
Molecule: ribosomal RNA, 445 nt
Filed under: uncultured bacterium
Lineage: Bacteria
Description: bacterial SSU rRNA
Rfam family: Bacterial small subunit ribosomal RNA
Source: RNAcentral